RNAcentral lists this ribosomal RNA (111 nucleotides) under Triticum aestivum (bread wheat). Its description in RNAcentral is "partial small subunit ribosomal RNA". The record is from RNAcentral. Lineage: Eukaryota; Viridiplantae; Streptophyta; Magnoliopsida; Poales; Poaceae.
AUGGCCCACAUAUCAGAUAUUAAACUGAUAAGAACAGAUACUACACUUGAUCUUAGCCAAAAGGCCGAGAAAGGUAUGCUUUGCGGCGAUGACCUGGGUCUCCUUUUAUAG